UUGACCUCGAAUCAGGUGGGACUACCCGCUGAACUUAAGCAUAUCAAUAAGCGGAGGAAAAGAAACUAACAAGGAUUCCCCUAGUAACGGCGAGUGAAGCGGGAAGAGCUCAAAUUUAAAAUCUGGCAGUCUUUGAUUGUCCGAGUUGUAAUCUAGAGAA
RNAcentral lists this ribosomal RNA (160 nucleotides) under Clavulinaceae sp. F46. RNAcentral describes it as "partial 28S ribosomal RNA". It matches the Rfam family "Eukaryotic large subunit ribosomal RNA", at positions 1 to 157 of the family's 3401-position model. The record is from RNAcentral. Lineage: Eukaryota; Fungi; Basidiomycota; Agaricomycetes; Cantharellales; Hydnaceae.